AGGUAUAUCACACUCAAGGAAAUCUGAAUCCCAUGUCAGAAGGGUCCUGCUAUAGUUAGGAUAAUCUGCAGAAGUGGUAAAAAUAUGAAGAAUUUCAGUUAUUAAUUGGAACUUCCUUUUAAGCAACACUUUCAAGUCAGUUCUUUAAUCUGCCUGCCAAUUGCCGACUGAUAAAUGCUAAAUGUGAUACAUUUAGCAUUUUGAGCAGUUAUUUGGGAUAAACAAUAGUUACUUCGUCUGAAGAUGUAAACAAUAUGUACCAUCUCUAAUACCUAUUCCAUUGGUGUUAGACAAAUUCAUGUUCAUACAUUUAGCAUUUUGAGCAGUUAUUUGGGAUAAACAAUAGUUACUUCGUCUGAAGAUGUAAACAAUACGUACCAUCUGUAAUACCUAUUCCAUUGGUGUUAGACAAAUUCAUGUUCAUCCCAGUUAUUGAUCUAAUGACUAACAGCAAAGCCUUGUCCUACACCUAGUUAAUUGACACUAGCAUUCUGAUAUGUUCGGAUUUAAGUUUCAUAUCCUUCAUUUAUAUAUUUAUAUAUAUCUUAAUUUUAUUUUAACUUUCCUAUAUUUAUGCAUGGACUAAGCUUAUGUUUUGGCAGGAC
RNAcentral lists this long non-coding RNA (605 nucleotides) under Manihot esculenta (cassava). RNAcentral describes it as "long non-coding RNA (MESC_LNC003069)". Lineage: Eukaryota; Viridiplantae; Streptophyta; Magnoliopsida; Malpighiales; Euphorbiaceae. The record is from RNAcentral.